Plectosphaerella cucumerina is the source of this 92-nucleotide non-coding RNA. NCBI's taxonomy places the organism in Eukaryota, Fungi, Ascomycota, Sordariomycetes, Glomerellales, Plectosphaerellaceae. The record is from the annotation of a GenBank genome assembly.
GGUCCGUUGGUCUAGCGGUUAUGACGUCAGGUUUUGAGGAUCCCCUACCUCUUCCCUCCUGAAUGUCGCCGGUUCAAUCCCGGCACGGACCU